This 446-nucleotide ribosomal RNA is filed under the name uncultured bacterium. Its description in RNAcentral is "bacterial SSU rRNA". It matches the Rfam family "Bacterial small subunit ribosomal RNA", at positions 329 to 792 of the family's 1533-position model. The record is from RNAcentral.
GCCCAGACUCCUACGGGAGGCAGCAGUGGGGAAUAUUGCACAAUGGGGGGAACCCUGAUGCAGCGACGCCGCGUGGGUGAAGGAGCACCUCGGUGCGUAAAGCCCUAUCGGCAGGGAAGAAACAGACGGUACCUGACUAAGAAGCCCCGGCUAACUACGUGCCAGCAGCCGCGGUAAUACGUAGGGGGCGAGCGUUAUCCGGAUUCACUGGGUGUAAAGGGAGCGUAGACGGCCAAGCAAGCCAGGGGUGAAAGCCCGGGGCCCAACCCCGGGACUGCCCUUGGAACUGCAUGGCUGGAGUGCGGGAGGGGCAGGCGGAAUUCCUGGUGUAGCGGUGAAAUGCGUAGAUAUCAGGAGGAACACCGGCGGCGAAGGCGGCCUGCUGGACCGCGACUGACGUUGAGGCUCGAAAGCGUGGGGGGCGAACAGGAUUAGAUACCCGCGUA